GCAGAACAAAACCACAUUCAUCCACCAAUUAUUCAUCAUCUUCAAACUCAAACAGACAAACCAACAAGGAACCAACGACCAUUAGGAACAACAAAUCCUGAUGCCAACUUCAGUGGAAAUUCUCACGAGCAGCAGCAGCAGAGCACCACCACCACCUUCACAAUUCUCUGUACAAAAGGCAAUCACUCCCCACUUUGCAAGAAAAAAACAAGCUUACCUUUACAACAUCAUUGAUUAAA
RNAcentral lists this unclassified non-coding RNA (239 nucleotides) under Hevea brasiliensis (rubber tree). The record is from RNAcentral. Lineage: Eukaryota; Viridiplantae; Streptophyta; Magnoliopsida; Malpighiales; Euphorbiaceae.